This 253-nucleotide ribosomal RNA is filed under the name uncultured bacterium. RNAcentral's name for it is "partial 16S ribosomal RNA". It matches the Rfam family "Bacterial small subunit ribosomal RNA", at positions 524 to 776 of the family's 1533-position model. The record is from RNAcentral.
UACGUAGGGGGCAAGCGUUGUCCGGAAUUAUUGGGCGUAAAGAGCGUGUAGGCGGCCAGAUAAGUCCGCUGUGAAAUCUCGAGGCUCAACUUCGAGCUGUCGGUGGAAACUAUCUGGCUAGAGUCCGGAAGAGGAGAAUGGAAUUCCCGGUGUAGCGGUGAAAUGCGCAGAUAUCGGGAAGAACACCCGUGGCGAAGGCGGUUCUCUGGGACGGUACUGACGCUGAGACGCGAAAGCGUGGGGAGCGAACAGG